AUUGAACGCUGGCGGCAGGCUUAACACAUGCAAGUCGAGCGGGGUGAUGGUGCUUGCACUAUCACUUAGCGGCGGACGGGUGAGUAAUGCUUAGGAAUCUGCCUAUUAGUGGGGGACAACAUCUCGAAAGGGAUGCUAAUACCGCAUACGUCCUACGGGAGAAAGCAGGGGAUCACUUGUGACCUUGCGCUAAUAGAUGAGCCUAAGUCGGAUUAGCUAGUUGGUGGGGUAAAGGCCUACCAAGGCGACGAUCUGUAGCGGGUCUGAGAGGAUGAUCCGCCAAACGGGGACUGAGACACGGCCCAGACUACUACGGGAGGCAGCAGUGGGGAAUAUUGGACAAUGGGGGGAACCCUGAUCCAGCCAUGCCGCGUGUGUGAAGAAGGCCUUAUGGUUGUAAAGCACUUUAAGCGAGGAGGAGGCUCUUUUGGUUAAUACCCAAGAUGAGUGGACGUUACUCGCAGAAUAAGCACCGGCUAACUCUGUGCCAGCCGCCGCCGUAA
Molecule: ribosomal RNA, 503 nt
Filed under: uncultured bacterium
Lineage: Bacteria
Description: partial 16S ribosomal RNA
Rfam family: Bacterial small subunit ribosomal RNA
Source: RNAcentral